AAUCACUACCAUGGCAACCAAGCCUCUGUGACGUUCCAGCAAGCUCAUUGUCUUCUCUUCACUAAACUUUAGUUAGUAGUUGGUCCCAGUCAGUAACACUCUGGGAGGGCUCAGGCCACAUCACGAAAUGUGACAGGAUAGCCUUGAACUCAUCAAUUGCUGGGGGCACCUCAAACUCAACUCCAAAAUUGAUCUAAUGAACUUUCCCAAACCACAUUCCCUUCUUGCAUUUCUGAGAGAAUGGAUUCCCAUUCAUCUGACUACAGUGCUACCCUGAAAGCAGAUCCAGAGACUAAGAUUCACCUGCAGGUGAUUCAUUUGCAAGGUAAGCUGUCAUCAGUUGGAGGUAAGCAGAAGACAGUAGAGAGUACAGAGCCCUGGACUGUGACUCAGAGGAUGAGCACCAGAUCCAGUUUGCUGUGCCACAGUGGGCCUGUGAUAUUUUGAAGCAGGAAGCUGACCUGAGACCUUCAGAAUAAACUGAUCACUGUGGAUAAUGAAAAGGCCCCACCCAGGACAUUGAUUGAGCACCCCUGCCUGUCUCAUUCCUUCUUCUCUUUCUUUUUAUUAUGUGCUUACCAUAAUAAAAAUUUUUAUUGUCUUUAGAUCUGUUUGCUUUUCACACAUAGUGGACUCUUAUCUCUCUUUUUCACUCAUUUUCUUAAACUGCUAGGGAGAAUAAAGUGUCAGGUCCUAUUUUGGUGCUCACUGCUGAUGAAUUAAGGUUUAUUCUUCUUCUUCCUUGUCCCCCACAUAUGGGAAAUCUAGUAAGAAAUCGUAGAAGCUCCCUUAUCUGAUGCCAGUGUGAGGUUUAAAUCACACAAGCUCCUUCUCCUGAGUAGAAACGUGCCCCUACCCCCAACCCCACCACCAAAUCAUUAUAAAGCCCUGAGCCAGCCUCCUUUCCUGUUCCAUUGAAGAAAUUCCAGUUUGGAAUUUCUUGAGAGGCCUGUGCUGCUCUCAGCAGACAAUAAUAGAGUUGGUAAAUCUUUUCAUAACCACCUGAGGUGUGAGUGUGGCACUAUCAGACCUGACAUCCACACUAACAAUUGGUGGGCUCUCUCUUCUUUUGCAUGGGGUCACCUACAAUUGGAACUAUGGGUUUGGAGUCCUGACAGUGACCACCACGGGGCCUUUCUUCUUUUGCACUGGAUGCUAACUCCCUCUGCCCCAGUGCCCAGCAUGCACUUUAUCCUGCCUGCUGCUCACUGACCCUUGGAGUUCUGUUGAGCUGGGCUGCAGUGUUGAGUUAAACACCACACCUUUUAUAGAUUUAGCUGAUUGAAUUCAGAAGCAUUGAUAAUUUAUUCACAUUGAGAAACAGGAGUGAUUGUAGGUGACUCUGCCUUUGGUGCAUGUGAGAAAAUUUUUCUCUUGUCACCACAAAUGUUUCUUCUUCAGGAAGAACAGGAUAAGGAAUCCAGAGAAGUGCCCCAGAGGAAACUGUUUCAUGGAGAGGAAGCCACAGGGCUGACAGGAAACCAGACCUUAGCCUCCCUCUGCACCUGCCCUGAGGCUGGCUUUUGUGCUCAGUGGGUCCUGAGUGCCCCCAGCUGGUCCUGUUCCCUCUUCAGGGAGGCUUGUUUCUGGGCUCAUACUGACAUUUUUUCUAAUUGUGUUCCCCAAAAUGGAGACAGAGUAAACCGUGAAUCCAUGCAUCUCAGAGAACAGAGAACAGCAGAAUUACACCCACUGAUCCCCCCCACACACAUUUAGGUAAAUCUUAUUAAAACUGCUGAAAAGGAAAGACAAAUAGAAAUAUACGCAGGCAAGUGGAGGUGAGCAGAGGGGGCAUUCCUUCCAAAAGAACAGAAAAGAUGAUGACAGCAUUCUUCUGGUUAAAACCUUACAAGCAAGAGGAAAGUUGAUGGUAUCUGUAAAGUGUUGGAUGAAAAGUCAACCCAUUAUUUUAUAACGCAUGGGUGUUCUCUAAAAAGUGAAAAAAAAUUCUAUUUCUCUUUGACAGCAUGAGGGUUUCAGUGAAUCCAGGCCCUCAUGAGACCAGUGAAAAUUAUUUUGAAAAAUUACAGGGUUUGGAAAGGCUCUAACAACAUAAAGCAAGUGAAGAAAUAUUUAUUCAAGAAAAUCUAGAAAACUCAGUAAGGCCAGUCAUCAUACUUGAUCUAAGAUGCUCUUCCUUCCUUCCACAUCCCAGCUCAGCAUGAUGUAAACUCCACUGCGGACAGAUGCAGCCAAGAAGACAGGUCACCUUCUACCAACUCCCACCAGAGGAAACUCUUCCCCAGGACCCAGUACGUUGGCCCUCUGACCCUGCACACAGCACAUGAUGCUGAGGUUCAGUGCUGAACAAGAGCUACUGAGAGCCAGAGAUUCACUUCUUCCAUGGAGCCCCACUCAUGGAUGGAGGCUCUGUCCCGGGUCCAGUGCCACUGGGAACACUGGGUCUCUGGUUUCUAGCUCUGUCCUAUGGCAGAGGUUCCACCCCACAAUAACCGAAGUGCUGAGAAGGUGGGAAGCUCCUGCCCGACCCUCCACUGAGAGCUCAGCUCCUAGGCUGAGGAAUAAAACAGCUCAACUUUGUCUACACCUGCAGAACCUUGUUUAGGAGCUCUGUCCCAGGAGAGAGGGGGCAAUGGAAUUCAGUCAUAAAAUAUGAUCCUUAAUUAGUCCUAAAAAUCCUAACUUCAGUAACAGCAGAUUGUGGACAAAUUGAAAGCCUGCCAGUGCUCUCAAAAACAGUGGAUGGUGUGGUGGAAAGCCCUUGGAAGGAGACGGGUGGAUGCAUGGGAGAUGCAGGCUACACUGCAGGGCUGCUGGCUUGCAGGAGAGAACCGAGGACAAGGGAGAGCUGGGGAAAGUUCUCUUGUGGUUGAAAUAAAUGCCAGACACUCUUCAAUGGAGCCCAUGUUUGUUUGGUUCAGUCUGUGAAGUAAUUCAAACCUCAGUGCAUGAUUGAAAAUAGUACAAUUUUCCAUCUGCAAGUGGCAGAGCUCAACAUCUGGGUCUGGUCAGGAGAGAGACAGAGAGAGCCCAGCCCAAACCACUGACACCUGGGGUUGACAGUGCUGCUUACAGAUGUGUUCCUUUGAUCUUUGAGACUGGUUUCUCUCACUUAGCAUAAUGCCUGGAGUUCAACUGUAAUGGUUUGUGAAUCGAUCAUUUGAUAUUUUUUAUUGCUGAUGGAUUCAAUUUAUAGAUGCUUCCUAGUUUUUUCACCUACUCAAAUUUUGAGACAUUUAUGUUAUUUUUCAUUUCUAACACACACACAUGUAAUAUCUUGAAUAUUUGAAUAGAGGUUUUGUGUGAAAAUAAGAUUGUAUUUCUCUGAAGCAAAAUUCAAGAGUGGGAUAUUUAGGUCAUGUGUUAAGGGCAUGUUUGAUUGCAGAAAAAACUAAAAAUUAUUUUCCCGAGUAGCUGUUUCAUUUUGCAUUCCCAUUAACAAUGUCGUAGACACUAGGAACUUGGUAUGCUCAUCAGCAUUGGUAUUACCUGUAUUUCUUCUUAAUUUCAGCCAUUCUAAAAAGUGUAUAGUGGUGUCUCAUUGUGGGCUUGAUUUGAAUUCCUUUAAUGGAAAAUCCUGUUAACAGCCUGUUUAUAUGCUUAUGUGUCAUCUGCACAUCUCAUUUGAUGAAAUGUCUGCACAAACCUUUGCCUAUUUUAUCCAUGGGUUGUUUC
RNAcentral lists this long non-coding RNA (3636 nucleotides) under Homo sapiens (human). RNAcentral describes it as "HSALNT0379725". Lineage: Eukaryota; Metazoa; Chordata; Mammalia; Primates; Hominidae. The record is from RNAcentral.